UUCCGGUUGAUCCUGCCGGACCUGACUGCUAUCGGAUUGAUACUAAGCCAUGCGAGUCAUUGUAGCAAUACAAGGCAGACGGCUCAGUAACGCGUAGUCAAUCUAACCUAUGGACGGGGAUAACCUCGGGAAACUGAGAAUAAUACCCGAUAGAACAUUAUGCCUGGAAUGGUUUAUGUUUCAAAUAAUUUAUUGCCGUAGGAUGGGACUGCGGCCUAUCAGUUUGUUGGUGAGGUAAUGGCCCACCAAGACUAUUACAGGUACGGGCUCUGAGAGGAGUAGCCCGGAGAUGGGUACUGAGACACGGACCCAGGCCCUAUGGGGCGCAGCAGGCGAGAAAACUUUGCAAUGUGCGAAAGCACGACAAGGUUAAUCCGAGUGGUUUCUGCUAAAGGAACCUUUUGUUAGUCAUAGAACCACUAAUGAAUAAGGGGUGGGCAAGUUCUGGUGUCAGCCGCCGCGGUAAAACCAGCACCUCAAGUGGUCAGGAUGAUUAUUGGGCCUAAAGCAUCCGUAGCCUGCUUUGUAAGUUUUCGGUUAAAUCCAUACGCUUAACGUAUGGGCCGCCGGAAAUACUGCAAAGCUAGGGAGUGGGAGAGGUAGACGGUACUCGGUAGGAAGGGGUAAAAUCCUUUGAUCUAUCGAUGACCACCUGUGGCGAAGGCGGUCUACCAGAACACGUCCGACGGUGAGGGAUGAAAGCUGGGGGAGCAAACCGGAUUAGAUACCCGGGUAGUCCCAGCUGUAAACUAUGCAAACUCGGUGAUGCAUUGGCUUGAUGCCAAUGCAGUGCCGCAGGGAAGCCGUUAAGUUUGCCGCCUGGGAAGUACGUACGCAAGUAUGAAACUUAAAGGAAUUGGCGGGGGAGCACCACAAGGGGUGAAGCCUGCGGUUCAAUUGGAUUCAACGCCGGA
Molecule: ribosomal RNA, 914 nt
Filed under: uncultured archaeon
Lineage: Archaea
Description: bacterial SSU rRNA
Rfam family: Archaeal small subunit ribosomal RNA
Source: RNAcentral